UGGGGAAUUUUGGACAAUGGGGGCAACCCUGAUCCAGCGAUGCCGCGUGAGUGAAGAAGGCCUUCGGGUUGUAAAGCUCUUUUGUCAGGGAAGAAGAUGCUAUGGCUAAUAUCCAUGGUUGAUGACGGUACCUGAAGAAUAAGCACCGGCUAACUACGUGCCAGCAGCCGCGGUAAUACGUAGGGUGCGAGCGUUAAUCGGAAUUACUGGGCGUAAAGGGUGCGCAGGCGGUUGUGCAAGACAGGCGUGAAAUCCCCGGGCUUAACCUGGGAAUGGCGCUUGUGACUGCACGGCUAGAGUGUGUCAGAGGGGGGUAGAAUUCCACGUGUAGCAGUGAAAUGCGUAGAUAUGUGGAGGAAUACCGAUGGCGAAGGCAGCCCCCUGGGAUAACACUGACGCU
This 400-nucleotide ribosomal RNA is filed under the name uncultured bacterium. Its description in RNAcentral is "bacterial SSU rRNA". It matches the Rfam family "Bacterial small subunit ribosomal RNA", at positions 355 to 747 of the family's 1533-position model. The record is from RNAcentral.